Molecule: ribosomal RNA, 496 nt
Filed under: uncultured bacterium
Lineage: Bacteria
Description: partial 16S ribosomal RNA
Rfam family: Bacterial small subunit ribosomal RNA
Source: RNAcentral
AUGAACGCUGGCGGCGUGCCUAAUACAUGCAAGUCGAGCGAACAGACGAGGAGCUUGCUCCUCUGACGUUAGUGGCGGACGGGUGAGUAACACGUGGAUAACCUACCUAUAAGACUGGGAUAACUUCGGGAAACCGGAGCUAAUACCGGAUAAUAUAUUGAACCGCAUGGUUCAAUAGUGAAAGACGGUUUUGCUGUCACUUAUAGAUGGAUCCGCGCCGCAUUAGCUAGUUGGUAAGGUAACGGCUUACCAAGGCGACGAUGCGUAGCCGACCUGAGAGGGUGAUCGGCCACACUGGAACUGAGACACGGUCCAGACUCCUACGGGAGGCAGCAGUAGGGAAUCUUCCGCAAUGGGCGAAAGCCUGACGGAGCAACGCCGCGUGAGUGAUGAAGGUCUUCGGAUCGUAAAACUCUGUUAUUAGGGAAGAACAAAUGUGUAAGUAACUAUGCACGUCUUGACGGUACCUAAUCAGAAAGCCACGGCUAACUACGUG